RNAcentral lists this long non-coding RNA (714 nucleotides) under Durio zibethinus. Its description in RNAcentral is "long non-coding RNA (DZIB_LNC000565)". The record is from RNAcentral. Lineage: Eukaryota; Viridiplantae; Streptophyta; Magnoliopsida; Malvales; Malvaceae.
UGCUCUUAAGAUAUUCGUUAACAAAUUUUAUUUAAUAUUUGUCCAAUUAAAACAAAAUUUAAAGUCAAUGACUUUAAUUAGAGCACCAUGGGAAGGUUUGUAUUGGAAACUGACCGAUCAAGCUAUGAAUAACGUCGAGCAAUGGCAAAUUCAAUAAAUAUGAUCAUUGAUACAUACAUAUAUAUAUAUAAUCUUUUGCAGGCCAAUAAGUAAAGACCCCAGAUUGAACAGAGAUGAUGAAGUUCAUAUAAAAGGAACCAAGUGCUUCAAAGAAAACUAAUUACGCAAACAGUAGCCCAAAUGGCCUUUCACCUUCCACAUGAACGGGUGUAAGUCCCACAAUUUUGUUGCACGUUGGGGCGGUUUGGGUCCGGAAGGCAGCUGUCAUACGGCUGGUUUCUCCCACAAUUUGCUGCUGGUUGACCAGCAUUGCCUGUGUUCCCAGUCACAGUUCCACCGCUUUGAAGGAUUCUACUGCUAUGAGAAUCCAUCAGGUACUCCAACUCGUCAUCGUCGGCAAUGAUUGAGGUACUGCUGUUGGUUUCCAUUGACAUAGCUCUACAAGGAUUCAUUGAAUUGUAGAAUAUAAGCACUAAAAUUGCAAGAGAAAGACAUUUUUUCUUCAUUUGGGCUUCCAUAUUUUUUCUACUCUCUUCUCUCUCAAAUGCCAAUCAAUGACACAGCUCAAACAGGUUCAUUUAAAGUCAUGGAAUC